AUAGAUUCUACCACUGCAUCAAGUGUGAUAUGAUAUUUAUCCACUCAAGAGUUAAAUUUUUCAAAUUUAAAAUGUGAGGCUUGCCGAGGAUUUUAGAUAUUUAAAAUUUAACUCUCGAGAGUGGAUAAAUAUCGUAUUACACGAGAUUUGGUGGUGGAAUCUGU
This 164-nucleotide small RNA is filed under the name Mytilus galloprovincialis (Mediterranean mussel). Lineage: Eukaryota; Metazoa; Mollusca; Bivalvia; Mytilida; Mytilidae. The record is from RNAcentral.